This 463-nucleotide ribosomal RNA is filed under the name uncultured bacterium. RNAcentral's name for it is "partial 16S ribosomal RNA". It matches the Rfam family "Bacterial small subunit ribosomal RNA", at positions 28 to 506 of the family's 1533-position model. The record is from RNAcentral.
GACGAACGCUGGCGGCGUGCUUAACACAUGCAAGUCGAACGGAAAGGCCCCUUUGGGGGUACUCGAGUGGCGCACGGGUGAGUAACACGUGAGUAACCUGCCCUUGACUUCGGGAUAACUUCAGGAAACUGGGGCUAAUACCGGAUAGGAAUCCUUGCUGCAUGGUGGGGGUUGGAAAGCUUCGGCGGUUUUGGAUGGACUCGCGGCUUAUCAGCUUGUUGGUGGGGUAGUGGCUUACCAAGGCUUUGACGGGUAGCCGGCCUGAGAGGGCGACCGGCCACAUUGGGACUGAGAUACGGCCCAGACUCCUACGGGAGGCAGCAGUGGGGAAUAUUGCACAAUGGGCGGAAGCCUGAUGCAGAAACGCCGCGUGCGGGAUGACGGCCUUCGGGUUGUAAACCGCUUUCAGCAGGGGCGAAGCUUUUGUGACGGUACCUGCAGAAGAAGCACCGGCUAACUACGU